This is a non-coding RNA of Heterocephalus glaber (naked mole-rat), 1255 nucleotides long. NCBI's taxonomy places the organism in Eukaryota, Metazoa, Chordata, Mammalia, Rodentia, Bathyergidae. The record is from RefSeq and is a predicted model, not a curated record.
UUGAGAGCCCUGACUCCAAAUCAGCAGGGGUUUUUAUAGUAGUUACAGCAAGGUUCUAGAUUGGCAAUUAAACCUGAUUGGUUGUGCCUUGCGCACCCAAGCUGCAAACGGUUACACCUGGGACAUUGGGGUAGCUGUUGCCAGGGGACGGCUGAACACUUAUCACAAGCAGGUGGGCAAAGUACAGCUUGUGGUUUUAGGUCUCACAUUCUCCCCUUCACGUGUAACUUUAGAGGCCCAAUCAUGGGUCUCGGAGGGUUAAAUCUACUGGGACCUAAGCACCAUUAAUUAUACAGAGCUAACACGUUCUCCAAGGGUUAAGCAAGGGGCCCAGUAGAGAAGAGAUAAACAACACUUUUUACGGAGGGCAGCACAAAGUCUUUUCAUAAUUAUGACCGUCGAAGACACAGUCUGAGCUUGAGAGGAUUGUCGCGGUUUUUGGACACCUGCCAUAAGGGGAUGUAAUCCUCUAGAACAGUGUGUGGAUCUGCGGGGCGGACGUGAGUAUAGUGUACCCACGAGGCAAUCCCGUCAACCUUGAGAGUGGUGGGCGUGGUCAGGACAGUAACAUAGAGUCCUUUUCAACGAGGCUCAAGGUCCUUCUGUUGAUGUCUCCGGACAAAGACCCAGUAGCGAUGGGGCUCGGGAGGUGGUCCGGACUUGAACAGGGCCUUUAAUUUAGGCCAGAUGUCUUUGUGAACACACUGGAGGCUUUGAACAAAAACUUUGGUGGACAAGGAUAUGGGCUCUGAAAUCUUACAACUGUGAGUGCUGUGGGAGAGAUUUCAUGAGCCACACAGCUCUGAACUGUCACUUUCAAUGGAAGCAUGUGGCCAAAAUGUCCUGAGAGAGAAGUUCCAAGAUCAUAGCAAGCAUGUUUCCAUUUAUAUCAGAAAGAACUAAUGAACUCUGCCAUGUUUGAGAACUAUAAAGGCUGGAAUAAACAUUAACUGUGCCUAUGAAUUGGUGCAUUUAGUGAGGUGCCACAUGAUGAUCAAAAGACUUUUCAAAUAGCUUUCAUAACUCCUUGUUAAGUAAUUGUCCUUUCUCAGUCUACUCAUGACAAGUUAAACAUGGAGACAGACAAGCUAACCAUGGAGACAGACAAGCUAAGCUGAAAACAUCCAGAAAAAAUAAAUAUAAAAACUAUGGCUACAGAAAUAUCCAAAAUUUGUAGGAAGUGUUCUAGGCACUUUGGAACAGUCUUUAGUAGGAAGAAACAUGAAAUAUGAGAGCAUCAUUUCACAGCCAAUAA